Molecule: long non-coding RNA, 488 nt
Organism: Mirounga angustirostris (Northern elephant seal)
Lineage: Eukaryota; Metazoa; Chordata; Mammalia; Carnivora; Phocidae
Exons: 3
Source: RefSeq, a predicted model, not a curated record
CCAUAAAAGAAAAUGGUUCAAAAAGUCCUGAGCAAGUGAAACCAGAAAUGUGCCGUGCUUGUAUCUGGCAGCCUCAUGCCCCGAAGGUGAAGAGCAGACAACUGCUGUCCACGGCUUCUCACAGUGAAAGUAGAAUGAGUGGGGCAUGUGUUCCAGCUGGGAGCAUGCGUUAGGGCCCUGGCCAGCCACAAAACACAGAGCCUCCAUGCACCAGGUGAAGAGAACUCCGAGGAGAUGUCACCUCGCUUCUCCCCAGCCCUUACUCAGACAGAAAGGACCUGUGAGGCCUGAAAGCAGAAGCAAGAAGACUAUUCUCAGGGGUGUAGGAUGAAGUUGGAGGCUGGAAAGAAUGCAAUUACGAUAGUAGACUGGAUAGUGACCAACCGAAAAUGUCCACGCCCUGAUCCUUGGAACCUGUGAAUAUAUUACUUUCCAUGGCAGAAGGGACUUUGCAGAUGGGAUUGCCAUGGGGAAGAGUAUCCCAGAUU